AGGGGGAGCAAAUCAGUUCGGCCAGUAUUCUCGUUCAGCGCGGACGAUCCCGGAAUAGUUUACGAGACGUGGAACGCGUCACAAUUUUCAUUUCAGUCAUAAUAACAAUAAUAAUUGCAAUAAUAGGUCGCGACCGGCCGAGAGAAUGUGGGAUUGAGACAGAAGAGCAAAAGAAACACGAGUUUUUAAAAACUAUGGUAUCGUGGUGAUUCGAUAGUGUCUGUAAUUGUAGAUAAAAUAUCAGAGGGCGCGCAUGUUGUUCUGUCAAAGAUACAACCACUUGGAGAAGCAAAAGAUCAAGAUAAACUAGUAAAUGAAGUGCGACAAGAAAAAAAGCAACGAUUAUAAAAGUUUCCGAUUGAAAUUUCUCGUGCAAAACCUCUUAGAAUUUUGAUCCGAAAUAAUUUUGUUUUCAUCUGUGUAACGUUGAAAAAAAUAUUACAAAGAUAACGACAAAUUGUACAGACGACAGUGGAAUCGUCUGAAGGAGAGGAAAAAUAAUAGUGAAAACUUGGCUCAAGAAUCUAAAGUCAACCAUCGGUGCUCAGUAGUAUUCUUUUAUUCCGUCAGACGUCUCGAACCUUUUUCCAUACAUCCUCGUCCCCCUCUCUCUUCCUCUCCUCAUUUUCUAACUACGGUAUUACGAAAUAUCGAGGAUUUUACCGUUGCGAAGUUCCGAGUUGGUUCAUUAUUGGUUUCGAAAAAGUAAUAAAUAAAUCGUGAAUAGUUGAAAAAUAGCAAAAGCACAAGGAUUAAACGAAGAUGGAAGUGACGGAAGAGCCGACGAGCACAGAAGUGGAGACGAGCGACGGUCUCGUCGAGGAACCCGACGAUCAUGGCACAACCGUCGAAGAAGCUGAUGAUAAUGGUGCGACCGUCGAGGAAGAAUACGAAAUUACAACCACCAGACGAAAAACUGUUAGAACCAGUUACAAAAUUCAAGAGACAUCGGCAACCCACAAAACAACCACCAUGACAACCGCAGCAAAGCUGUAUGGCAAAGAUCUCAGCGAAUAUGACGAUGUGGACGUCGACGAACUUCUCGAUCAGCUUACGCCUGAAGAAAUCAACAUAUUGGCAAAAGAAGUUGAUCCCGAUGACAGUUUUAUGCCACCAUCGGAACGUUGCAGCUACGAGUGCGACAAGAGUCCAACGGGGCCGUUGAACCGCAAGAAACUCAUCGAGCACAUCAACAAACAAGCGUUAGAGACACCUGAUAUUCCUGAACUGAAGCCUUAUGUGCCCGGCGUCGUGAGAGGAAAGAAAUGGGUACCACCGCCGCAAGAUAACAUCAAAGAAAAAGAGGCUGAGGAGCAAAUAGCUAUCGAUCUCGGUGACGAGUACGAACACGCACUGUCUUCGGCUACUCAAGAAGAGAUCAUUGACCUUGCUGCCAUUCUUGGUUUUCACUCGAUGAUGAAUCAGGAUCAAUAUCAUGCGUCUCUCUUAAAUUCCGGCCAACCAGUUGGUAUGGGUUGGGAUGGUAUAACGAAAGCGAGUCAACCAAAAGUUUUUCCUAUGGAUCCACCAAACGAUACCGAUGUUGAUUCGACGAUUAGACAAGUCCGCGAGGAUGAUCAUACAUUAAUGGAUCUCAAUUGGAAUAACAUCAAAAAUAUUUCAGAAGAAAAGUUCCUACAGCUUUUCGAAGCCCUGGAAGUGAACACACACCUGGAAACGUUGAGCCUGACAAACGUUGGUCUUACCGACAGAACGGCACAAAGAUUGGCAGAAGCCAUGGAAAAGAAUUCGACUCUAAGAGUCCUCAAUGUUGAAACGAAUUUCAUUAGUCCAACUGUGAUGGUGAGGCUAAUAAGAGCGCUAUUGAAAACCAAAUCUAUCGAGGAAUUUCGAUGCUCAAAUCAGAGGUCGCAAGUGUUGGGUAACAAAAUCGAAAUGGAAAUCACGCAGCUGGUCGAACAAAAUCCAACGUUAUUGCGAUUGGGUUUGCACCUUGAGUUCAACGAUGCAAGACAUCGCGUUGCUGCUCAUCUGCAGCGUAAUAUCGACAGGAUACGGAAAGACCUAACGCAGCGGCUACAGUUCAGAUUCUUUAACAUGAACCACAGGAAACCCGCCCUAAUUCAGUGAAGUACGGCAGUCCCGGCUCGAGGUGGCGACAUCUUUAUCCGAUUUGACGCUCGCCUAGGUCGUUUGCGUCGAAUGGGAAGGGCUUCUCGAGACUACACCGUCGGCUGGGCGAUGCACUGAUCCUCGAACAACACGCAAUAUGCAAUAAACCGAAAGAGAUGAACAAGAAUUUCAACGUCACACUUGCAAGAAGAAUGGAAAUGGAAAAUUCGAGCGUUACUAACAAGAUCUUUUUUCAUACGCGCACAGUUGUGUACAUAUGCAUAUAUCUACAUAUAUAUUUAUUUGUAUAUAUGGGGUAUAUAUAUAAUUGUAAUAACAAUGCCGCGAAUAGCGCAGGAAAAACGUAAAUCAAUCGAAUGCGAAGAAAGAGACAGUGAGAGUAAGAAAAUCUAUGACAAAAUAAUCCAUCCCUUCGUUUUCGUUCUGAAUAUCGAUGCACGACUUCGGGCCUUCGGAAUAGCUCGCUGCGUGCUGAGACUCAUUAAUAUUAAUUGGGAAGAAUAAUUUAUUCGAGUCUUGAUGAACUUUUAUGGUGUGAAAAUCUAUAUUAAUAUAUGAAUUCAUUGUUCAUUGAAGAUCCAGCAGAGAUUCAUGAAAACGAAAUUUAUUUCAUUUGUUAUAAGUAUUAGUAUAGAAAAAAAAACUUAUUUAUUCAUAUUCGAAAAACUUUAUUUCUUUCCAAUAAAUCAAAGGCCUAAAAUAUCAUCUUUUCAUGAAAUUUAUUAGUUUUCCCAAUGCCAUCUCUCUCUCUUUCUUCGUUGUGUCAUCCUCGCUCGAAACAUCCAACUUUUUUUUCGUAACGAAACGUUUUUUACGUGAUACACAAAAAAAUUCUCGUCUUUUUCGGGUUGUUCUUUUUUAACCCUAUACAAGCAACGAAUCACUGCUUUUGUUUUAAAUCGCUCUCGAAGACACAGUCCUUCCUAUUGACGGACCUGAAAUUUACGAUUUAAGAUCGAUUGAAUCCUUGUCAGGAUUCACAUUACACGUUCAAAGAAUAUAUAUAUAUAUUAUAUAUGUAAUAUUAUAGAACACAAUGCCACCAGCAGCCUCCUCCGCACUUUUAUUAUUGAUAAAUAUUUUAGAAUGUAUUUUACAAUUCAUCAUGAGCGUUCAUAUUUCAAAACCCUAGAUGACGUUCGCUGCAAUUCGCGUUAAUAAUUUUUACUUUUUUCCCUUCUCUCAUGUUAUUUCGCACCGAUUUCGUCGUGAUCGAAAGAGAUUUUGGCCCGUGAAUACUCUCAUCGACAUAGUACACCUGAAAAAACAUCCGCAUCCUCCGAAAAGGGUUUCGGCUUUAUAUUUAUUUAACGGAUAUUAAAACGUAUGAAAACACAAAAUUUUACUGAUAUCAAUGCAUAACCGAGGAAUUCUAUUUCUAGUCAAAUGGGGCCCGAAUUUUUAACAUGCACUCUCGUUAGCCACGCUUCACUUCCGUGAAUUUUUACACUCAUUUUUUUCCGUACUUCACAAAAUACUAAAAUCGCUAGAGAUCUGGCAACAUUUUUCGAAUUUAUUUAUUUUUUUCUGAAUCCAUUUACUACACGAAUGCACUCGACUCGUUAAAUAUUGAUACAAUCCCAUUUCGACUGAAAAUAAGUUCGCUCCGCAUCCAUUUCUAUAUCAAUGCACACAUUUUUAAUUUCGUUGAAUAAUAAUUAUUUAUUUUUUUUUGUUUUCUCAAUUAUCAAACCGAACAAAUUCGUCGAGAGAGAAGAAUGUUUUUGUAAUUGCGUCUCUAAAUUCGAGCUUUCGUGCUCGAUUUUAUUUCCGGGUAUAAAUAUAUGACGUGGUGAUGAAUUUAAGUCGACUAUUGCGCAUGUGGAUAAUAAUGAUAGUUAAUAUAUUGCGUAUAGUUAUUGUACUACUAUGGUUUAGUCGAGCCUAAGAGAUUUGCGGGUCUCUAGUGCUUCUUCAGAGUGUUUUUCGUCCCUUUUUUUUCCAUUACGAAGUCACGCUUUUUUAAAUCUUCCUUUGUUCUCUUAUUUGUACAUCACGUUGAUACGACGGGAGAGAGAAUCAGUGAACCUCGUCGUAAAUAAUAUAUUUGCAACUGAGCUUUAUCCGCUUAUAGAUAGAAUAUAUAGGAAAAAAGAGAUAAAUAUAAAAAAUGAGAAAUAAAUAUCGGACAGUGAUUUUUUACAUUGCUAUACUAGAUGAAAAAUUGUCAUUUACGACCGGAUGAGAAUAUAUCACCUCUGCGAGCUUUAAAGACCCGCAAACUUGGAUGUUCAAAACAUUAUUUAAUCACUAAUCCAAUGAUUAAUUCUUCGUGAUUAAUUACUGUUUAUUAAUAUCUUUAAGCUUCGGUACGAAAUAAAUCUGUACAUAUUGUCAUAAAUGUCGUUUCAGCUCGAUCAUUGUGAGUCAACAAAUGCUAUUAUUAAUUAUAUGCACGAUUUCAAUGGUUAUACACAAUGCUUGAAUAGAGGAUGGAGGAGGGGGAAGGGGAAGUAGAAAAAAUGAUGAAAAUAGAUGAAUGCUUAAGUGAAAAUGUGUAUGUUUGAGUGUUUGAAAGUUCAAGUAGUAACGAGUAAUUGUGGAAUUGACUGUAUUUUUAUGCAUUGUCGCUUCAAUGGGAACUGAAGAUACGAGAUCCAGAAAAAAUUGUUUAACGAGAAAAAAAAAACGAAGACAGGAAUCAACAUUAACACAAAGCAUCCCGACCCCGCUACAUGUAGAAGCAAAAUUGUGUUAUGAUCGAUUUGCUAACGAACGGGAGAGUUAAAGGACGAUACAAAAAUAAUUGCGAUGGGCAUUGAAUUCAAAAUACAAACGAGAAGAUGUGCUAGGAGAGAGAGAGAGAGAGAGAGAGAGAGAGAGAGAGAGAAAGAAAGAGAAAAAGUUCUAUAAUGAGGUUGAGGGAACAGGUAAAUCGCACGAUACUUGGCGGCUGUGACUAAAAAAAGCGACUAAUGUAUUCCUGUUCAUACAUACCGUGCUUAUUCAUACCUGGUUUAUUCAUAACCGAGGUACUCUGAAGCAUUCGUCACGCGACCUUUCAUUUUUUCUCCGUCAUCGCAUUUUUAUGUAUCGCACGUAAAAGCCUGACAAUUUAUCAAUUAAUUCGACAGCCGCCUCCGUUUCAUGCCUAAUCCAUCAAUUCUCAGGCGCUCAGGCUCGUGCUACUUUUAACACGGUCGUAGCUUUUGGGUCUUCGGCUUCUAGAUACGAUACAAUCGUAUCUGAACGCUGAAUAAAUUUAUACGAAUGACGAUUUUUUUUUCAAAAAGCAGUACAUCUUCUGAAGUUAAUUAAACGUAAAAACGGCUUUUCCCAUCUCCAAUAUUUAGAGUUUGUAGCCAUUUCUACUACGUUCUCGUUCUCAUCGUUGCUCACUCGUGAAAUCUUGCCAAUGGAAGACCACAGUCGAAGCGCGGUGGUGCCGAGAGAACGAGAAUUUUUUUCGUAUUCUCAUUACAUAUUUCUGUGAUCCAGUUUAUUUGAUUCUCUCCUAAAUUCAGCCAGCCGUAUUCAUUUGAACGGUUGAAAUGCCACGUGAAAAAUAUUUUCAUCGUGAUAACCCGUCAAUCACGAUGCAAUCUGAACAGUAAAGUCAACUCAUAAACGUGCGGGCCAUCGUCCAGUAUCUGUUUCCUCAACGAUCGUAUACACAUAUGAAAAUACUUAUUAAAUGUAUAUCAAUGUUUCAUUGAAAUUUAAAUCAAUCUCAAAUCGCAUUGAUCUUGUUACACAAUUGUCAAUGUUCGUCAUAGUAUUUACACAAAUCGACGAUUAUGGAAUAUUUAUAAAAAUGACGGUACUCUAGGUACCAAUCAAGCACUGUAGCUACAAAAAUGAGUAAAACGAGAGAAAAAAAUAUAAAAACUCACGCGCGCACGAUGAAAGCCUUGCUGCUACCCCUGUCUCUUGUAACAAAAGAUUUCAAUAAAAAUAAUAAAAACACA
This is an RNA transcript of Venturia canescens, 6002 nucleotides long. It is a transcript of the gene named tropomodulin, with no coding region annotated. The record is from RefSeq and is a predicted model, not a curated record. NCBI's taxonomy places the organism in Eukaryota, Metazoa, Arthropoda, Insecta, Hymenoptera, Ichneumonidae. The transcript has 11 exons.